AAAAUUUUAUAUUACUUGAGACGAGCUGAAUAGUGUGUGUGAAUAUGUGAAAUAUGUGUAUGAAAUUCACAUAUUUUGACCGCCAUUUAUGAUAAGUUCAGCGUUAAACAAAUAAUAUGAAUAAUUCAUAAUGUUUUAGAAGAAAAACUCAAAAGAUUUUAUUGAAUAGAUACAAACCAGAAAUGGCUGUCUAGAAGGGAAAUUUAUGCAUAGAAAAAAUCAACGAUCAUUUAAAAUCUGAAGAAAUUGCCUUUCAUACAGAUAUCUGCCACAAAGUCGUUAUUUUCAUUCAAGCAAAGAUUUAAUUCGUUUUAUCUUGGUUUCAGAGAAAAAUCUCUCUCACGGACAAUUAACUACAGUUAUAAGAUUGUUUGAAUUACAUUAUGAAAAAUAAGGUACCUAUGCGACCAUUUUAGGAUAAAUUUUAGAAAUGCCUAGUGUGUGUUUAUGUGACUUUUGGCAACGAUACAAACUGUUACACGCUAAUGGUACUACAUAUCACAGAAGAGUCGUUGUAAUAACAAUAACAACUGGAAGAAGUUUCAUGAUGAUCCGAUGAAGGGCUUAGGAAUGGAUCAAUCUACAAUAAAUAAUAAUUUUUGUUCAAA
Long non-coding RNA from Bombyx mori (domestic silkworm), 608 nucleotides. RefSeq lists it as uncharacterized. The transcript is spliced from 2 exons. The record is from RefSeq and is a predicted model, not a curated record. Lineage: Eukaryota; Metazoa; Arthropoda; Insecta; Lepidoptera; Bombycidae.